AUAAAUGCAGAGAAAGAGAGCAUAUCUUACAGGCAGCUUUAAGAGAGUCGGCGGGUGGUGUGAGCCGAUAGUGCAGAGAAGAUUAUGGUAGCUCUGGAGCACCGUCUUUGAAAAAGAGUAGAAGGCGGCGGAUUAACCCCGUUAAAGGUUGAGGCAAGCGCCAAAAGAGAAGUCUUACUGAUUACUGUCAGAAGGCAAUUAGGGUGGUACCGCGAGAAUUACUCGCCCCUGAA
RNAcentral lists this non-coding RNA (233 nucleotides) under Peptoclostridium litorale. RNAcentral describes it as "Clostridium litorale T-box sequence". It matches the Rfam family "T-box leader". From Rfam's summary of the family: Uncharged tRNA acts as the effector for transcription antitermination of genes in the T-box leader family. T-boxes are found upstream of many aminoacyl-tRNA synthetase genes and some amino acid biosynthetic genes usually in Gram-positive bacteria. The record is from RNAcentral. Lineage: Bacteria; Bacillati; Bacillota; Clostridia; Peptostreptococcales; Peptoclostridiaceae.